UGGGGAAUUUUGGACAAUGGGGGCAACCCUGAUCCAGCCAUGCCGCGUGAGUGAAGAAGGCCUUCGGGUUGUAAAGCUCUUUCGGCGGGGACGAAACGGUUCGUGUUAACACCACGGACUAAUGACGGUACUCGCAGAAGAAGCACCGGCUAACUACGUGCCAGCAGCCGCGGUAAUACGUAGGGUGCAGGCGUUAAUCGGAAUUACUGGGCGUAAAGCGUGCGCAGGCGGCUCCUUAAGUCAGAUGUGAAAGCCCCGGGCUUAACCUGGGAACUGCGUUUGAAACUGGGGAGCUAGAGUGUAGAAGAGGGGGGUGGAAUUCCAGGUGUAGCAGUGAAAUGCGUAGAGAUCUGGAGGAACACCGAUGGCGAAGGCAGCCCCCUGGGCUAACACUGACGCUCAUGCACGAAAGCGUGGGGAGCAAACAGGAUUAGAUACCCAAGUAGUCCCUGAGCGGGCUGGCAAGGCGCAU
Molecule: ribosomal RNA, 472 nt
Filed under: uncultured bacterium
Lineage: Bacteria
Description: bacterial SSU rRNA
Rfam family: Bacterial small subunit ribosomal RNA
Source: RNAcentral